GGAUUCUUGUAAAGAGAAGCAGGGCCUUUCUCAAGACCCACAGUCAGAAUUUUUGGGUACCCUUGCAGAAGUAAGGGUU
This 79-nucleotide small nuclear RNA is filed under the name Necator americanus (New World hookworm). Its description in RNAcentral is "SmY spliceosomal RNA". It matches the Rfam family "SmY spliceosomal RNA". Lineage: Eukaryota; Metazoa; Nematoda; Chromadorea; Rhabditida; Ancylostomatidae. The record is from Rfam by way of RNAcentral.